AGGACGAACGCUUGCGACGUGCCUAAGAAAUGCAAGUCGAACGGGGUAGCAAUACCUAGUGGCGAACGGUCGCGUAACACGUGGGCAACCUGCCCUGAAGCGGGGGACAACAACUCGAAAGAGUUGCUAAUACCGCAUGUGUAUCGGAAUGGCAUCAUUCAGGAUACAAAGCCGCAAGGCACUUCAGGAUGGGCCCGCGGCCUAUCAGCUUGUUGGUGAGGUAACGGCUCACCAAGGCUUCGACGGGUAGCUGGUCUGAGAGGACGAUCAGCCGGAUUGGGACUGAGAUACGGCCCAGACUCCUACGGGGGCAGCAAUUAGGAAUCUUGCACAAUGGGCGAAAGCCUGAUGCAGCGACGUCGCGUGAAGGAUGAAAUCUUUCGGGAUGUAAACUUCUUUUACCAGGGAAGAAAAAAUGACGGUACCUGGUGAAUAAGCCCGGCUAACUACGCGCCAGCAGCCGC
Molecule: ribosomal RNA, 464 nt
Filed under: uncultured bacterium
Lineage: Bacteria
Description: SSU rRNA
Rfam family: Bacterial small subunit ribosomal RNA
Source: RNAcentral